CUUCUCGUCUCCGAGGAGCUCCUCCUCGCGCCGGGCAGCGACGCCGCCACACCUCUUCUCACAGGUUUGGUUCCUCACGUCCUCUCACGCCGUGGAGACUCGAACUGGUUUCAUUGGAUUUGGAUAAGAUGCACAACACUGCACACACAAGAUCUUGCUCCAUCAACCAACACGGUAUUCCAUCUUGAAUAGUAAAGUCAAAUGGAUCUUCUUUCUUGCAUAGACACACUUUCUACAAUUACCAUGACGAUAUACUUGGAUCCAUAUUGCACCAUAGCUCUAGCUAUGAUAUUUGGCAAACAAAAGUGUAAAAUCCCUUGACUUGACAUUUCAAGAAACUUUCAUUACCCCUGCAUUUGGAUUUAUUUUGGCAAGGGCAAAGCUAGGGGAAAAUCCCACAUUGUAUACUUCUAUUUCACUUUAACCCUUUUGAUUAGGUUGUUCUUUUAUUUUGUUCUUUUGAUUAAGUAAACAUACAGCCUAUUGUUGGUAUAUUCUUGAAGAUGUAUUAUCCGGAUUUUGGCAGUUGUUUUAUACAUUAUGUUUAUCUCUUCCUGCCAAAAAUUGCUCAAUCUAAACUCCUUGUAAUAUCAUACACAUGAUUAAAAUAUUCUUCCUGCUGACGCAGGUGUUUUCUUGAGUCACGAAGGGAAGUGUUUGUCUUAAAUGUGUUUAUACUGUGUAGUGAGGUGCUGCUAGACCUGCAUCUUGAGAAGGUGGAUGUGUCGUCUUUCAGGUUUUGCCAUGUUCCAUUAUCACUGUCAUUAAUAUUUCUUCUGAAGUAUUGUUAUCCUGUGUCUACUUGUUGCAAUACCUUUCAUCGUCGGAGUUGAGGAAGAGCAAUGCUUGGUCCUUGCAGGAAAAUAUGAUGAGCUGAAAAUUACUCUGCAAGAUGUAGGUCUUCUUGCUCUGAUUUACUCUGUGACUCCAAUAUAACCAACACAAAGUUUGAUGAACGAACAUAGACAACAUGCAACUUUAUUAUUUAUAUUUAUUGUUUGUUGUCUGAGAAUUCUGUAGAACAUUGUAUGGAACAAAAAUGUGUGUGUGUUGCUAGCAUGAAAGGAAGAUUUAAUUUUUCCUGAGAAAUGGUAGUCUGCUAGAGUGUGAGUGACAUGUCACAUGCGAUUUAUUUCAGCACCAGACUUAUGUACAUUUGAAUCACAAACGGG
RNAcentral lists this long non-coding RNA (1172 nucleotides) under Triticum aestivum (bread wheat). Its description in RNAcentral is "long non-coding RNA (TAES_LNC003781)". The record is from RNAcentral. Lineage: Eukaryota; Viridiplantae; Streptophyta; Magnoliopsida; Poales; Poaceae.